UGUAAGCGUAUACCAAAGUUGUUGCAGUUAAAACGCUCGUAGUCGGAAUUUGGCAGUUCCGGAUGUGUGCACGUCGUGUGCGCACUUCGCGGGGAUUGCUUUUGUGGUCUUGCGUAGGAUGAGGCACUUUUAUUAGUGAACGUCCUCACGCAACCACUUUUUACUGUGAGAAAAUCAGAGUGCUCAAAGCAGGCAUUUGCCGUGAAUGUAUUAGCAUGGAAUAAUAGAAUAGGACUUGGUUCUAUUUUGUUGGUUUGUUGGGACUGAGUAAUGAUUAAGAGGGACAGUUGGGGGCAUUUGUAUUUCGGUGCUAGAGGUUAAAUUCUUAGAUUACCGAAAGACAAACUGCUGCGAAAGCGUCUGCCAAGGAUGUUUUCAUUGA
RNAcentral lists this ribosomal RNA (382 nucleotides) under uncultured eukaryote. Its description in RNAcentral is "partial 18S ribosomal RNA". It matches the Rfam family "Eukaryotic small subunit ribosomal RNA", at positions 592 to 976 of the family's 1831-position model. The record is from RNAcentral.